UACGUAGGGUGCAAGCGUUGUCCGGAAUUAUUGGGCGUAAAGAGCUCGUAGCGGUUUGUCGCGUCUGCUGUGAAAACCCGAGGCUCAACCUCGGGCCUGCAGUGGGUACGGGCAGACUAGAGUGCGGUAGGGGAGAUUGGAAUUCCUGGUGUAGCGGUGGAAUGCGCAGAUAUCAGGAGGAACACCGGUGGCGAAGGCGGGUCUCUGGGCUGUAACUGACGCUGAGGAGCGAAAGCGUGGGUAGCGAACAGG
This 252-nucleotide ribosomal RNA is filed under the name uncultured bacterium. Its description in RNAcentral is "partial 16S ribosomal RNA". It matches the Rfam family "Bacterial small subunit ribosomal RNA", at positions 524 to 776 of the family's 1533-position model. The record is from RNAcentral.